Molecule: long non-coding RNA, 3347 nt
Organism: Microtus ochrogaster (prairie vole)
Lineage: Eukaryota; Metazoa; Chordata; Mammalia; Rodentia; Cricetidae
Exons: 4
Source: RefSeq, a predicted model, not a curated record
CCUGACACCCCUAGAUCCUCAUGAUUCCAGCCCAGCCUCAAACAUUCAGGCGCUCUCAAGUUCUAGUCCGACCUUGACACCCCAAGAAUCUCAGGAUCCCAGCAGCUGACAUCCCUGGAUUCUCUACCCGGACCCUGAGACCUAGAUUCUCAGAAUCCCAGCUCUUGGCACCCCAAGAUUACCAGGAGGAUUCCAGCCCAGCCGUAAACAUCUCAAGAUUCUCAGUAUCGCCAUCUGGCUUCUGACACCGCCAGGUUCUCAGGAUCCCAGUCCAGCCCCAACAUCUCGCUAUUCUAAACACCGGCUCUGAAUACCUAAGCCCAGCCACAAACAUUCCAGGACCCCAAGGCCUGCCCUACUACACACAUGGAUGCGAACCCGCGCAAUUUACCUUGAAGGCCGAAAGACCCUUGGAAAGGAUACUGUUUGGGGGAAAGUAAGACAGAACGCAGAGAGACCCUUCUGUCACCCCAGCGAAGUCAGCGUGAGAACUAGAACAAGAAGCACGGUGCAGCUUUGGCCGAACCAGGAUUCUUGAGAUGCGGGGAAAGCAAAGAGCUGCAGCAAGAUCUCUACCUGUGAUCCUUGCAAACCAAGCUGGGUGCCCCUGCCGCUGGUUCCACCACAAACGCUCACGGUCCUACUGAGGCUAGACCCCACCUGGGAACAAGGAGCAGCCAGAACCUAUCCUUCAGCCUCCCCAUCUGUCUACCGCUUCUCAUGGUCCUCCUGGAGUGUCAGCAAGGCCCUGUCUCUUGUAGAUGUUUCUUUUUCAGCCCUCUCGGCCAGCAAAGACCAGAUGGACAGAAGGGCAGCUUGGCUCUGCCACUCACUGGACCCCAGGCUGUAGUGCUGGUUUGGAGUCAACUGGAGCAGGAGGCCGCUCACACCAGACUCUGCAGUGUCACCGACUGGUCCAUCCGUGACUUGCUCUACUGAAGUCCUCUCUGACCUAAUGGUAAAGUUGUCCUGAGAGCAUCUGAAGACGAAGUACUCCUGCAGCAGUGAUCUGGGCCAGGCAGUCAUGACGCUAAGGGCCCCAGAGGGCUGAGAGCUACAGACACUCAGCCGUGUCUCUGUCCAUGGGGAACAUCCUGCCCAGAGAACAGGGGGUGAUAUCAGGCCUGAGGAACCCCAUAUCUGCCAUCAACGCUUCAUUAGCCACACCACCACCAUCUUCUCUGUGGGGCAUGGAGCAGAUGCGACCCUACAUGUCAUGGGGCCCCCACAUUCUCAUUCAUUUCUUCAUUCUUCAACAAAUGUUUGCUGAGGGGUGGCUGCUUUGCUGGCGGGAUUCACACUAGAGUGGACAGCAAAUAUCACGAGGUGACUGUGUCUGUGGUGGGGUUGUGACAAGCACUGGUGCACUGAGACUGCACAGGAAGAUGGGUAAGGAAGCCUUUGUGGGGGGGGGGGCUGACACACACACUGGUCAGCACCUAAUAUAGAUCCGUGCAAGAGAGCAGGAGGAAAUGUCUUGGGGCUGUGAAGGUCUUGGUGAGGUUGAAGGACUGAGAGGAAGCUGGGUAUCAAGAGGGCGAAGGGCAGAGGGCAUCUUAGCAGACUGAGCUGUAUGACAUAGGGCUUUCCAGGCUUGAGCGGCACUGCAAACUUCAGCCACAGUGUGAAGUUAUUGGAGGUUUUUAAACAGGAGGACUUAGCCUGAUUUGCAUAUUAAGAAAGAUUGCCCAGCUGCUGGGUGAAGCCGCCUUUUAAAAGCACAAAAAUAGAAGUAGGAAGAGCGGCUCGGAGGGUAUCACAGCAAUCCAGGCAGGGAAUAAUCACUGUUAUUAUCCCCAUUUCUCAGAGGAGCUCGCAGCAGGUAGUAACGCGGCGCUUCCAUUUCCAUGGCGAAUCUGCGUGGAAGCCUUUCUCCUGUCACUUCACAGGAACUUCAGAGCAACCCUGGAAUCUAUCAGCUAAAAACUGGUUCCUGGCCUAAAACGAGUCUCCAAGACAUUGGUCCUAGGUAAGGUCAGACUUUAUUGGGAGCCCAGAGUCUGUCCUAACCCUAGGCUUCUUGACCUUUCUGGGUUCUGUCCAAUUCCUGAAUCCCCAGGCAGAGUUCCUCAGGUCAGAAGGAGUAAGUGGAGUGGCCAAACUAGGUAGUCAGGUCCAGAGUCCUGCUGACCAGAGCCUAAGGGGCCUGGGAGGAGCCAGGGCGCUAGGCUCUACUAGAGCUACGCUAUAUGGUGAACACAGAACAUGAGACAUGCUUUGGCUCCCAAGUGCCUAAAAUCUAGUCCGAAACAAACGGAAGACUUCAAUAAAUAAUUGAAGAAUGUGCUGCAGAUGAAAAGGCACAUAUAUAAGCAAAUAACUUUAGAGGAAGCUGGGUCUUUUCCUUGGGACAAAUGGAUCUGAAUACUAUUUCAAGGACUGUCAGUUGGACCGUGACGGUCUUCUGGGGCAGUUACUGGCCUGCUUAACAAAGUCACCCACAUUGUUUGAUCUACACUGUACUGAAGCAGUCCUUACCCAGUGCCCCCAUUACUGCCCAGCACCCCCCCAUUCUUCGUGUCUAAUACAAUCACGGCUCUGUUGACCUCAUGAAUUCUGUGUCUCAGGAAUUUGGAAAGUCAGAGUGGGGAUGACUGGGCUCUGACUCAGCAUGCCUAAGCCUCAGUUCUGAAGUCCACUGGCUGGGUGCCAGAACCUGGGACCCCUCGACAGUUCUGUGGCAGGCGAUCUGGCUGGGGAGAUGCCAAAGCUGAGCUGAACCAGCUGCUGUUCAGUGUGUUUCUAUGGGGUCUCUCCACGGACUGGAGGAUCCUCACUGCAGCUGGGCUCCAGGAAGUCCCGCUUCAGCCACAUAAAUCAGAGCUCCCAUUGUGAGGGCUAUAGGGAAGGCAGAAGACACUUGGCUUUUAUGUCCCACCUGAAGGUACCGCCACUCUAGUCACCAAGGCAUGGCAUGGCACGAGGUGUACUAGUGUGUGUACCCACACUAGGUGGGUUCCAGGGCCCUGCCACACACUGAAGGGAACAUCAAUAUUCAGCAAGUGAAGACCACUCUAUUGUGAAGAUUUAAUGAAUCAAAUCAGGAACCAAGACUUGUGCUGGAUAGUUUAUAGCUAUAAACCAAGGGCAACAGAGACAUCUUUGAAUGAAUAAGAGCACAGAAUUGUGCUUUGGGAUAAUCAAUAAAAUGCUGAGAUUUUAGCCCAUGGACCAGAACACAGAAGUACUUGUUAUUACCUUGGGGAGGGGUGUGGAGAAGAGGACCUAGCUCCUGAGUGUACAACAUGAGCAGGGCUGUUGUGAAGACAAAGGGAGGGCAUCAAGUGAGGUGCCUGGCCAAAGAGCAUCGGCGAGGAUGCUGUCCGGAAGGUUCGUUCUCAUCAGGU